RNAcentral lists this ribosomal RNA (468 nucleotides) under uncultured bacterium. Its description in RNAcentral is "partial 16S ribosomal RNA". It matches the Rfam family "Bacterial small subunit ribosomal RNA", at positions 28 to 507 of the family's 1533-position model. The record is from RNAcentral.
GACGAACGCUGGCGGCGUGCUUAACACAUGCAAGUCGAACGGAAAGGCCCUGCUUUUGUGGGGUGCUCGAGUGGCGAACGGGUGAGUAACACGUGAGUAACCUGCCCUUGACUUUGGGAUAACUUCAGGAAACUGGGGCUAAUACCGGAUAGGAGCUCCUGCUGCAUGGUGGGGGUGGGAAAGUUUCGGCGGUUGGGGAUGGACUCGCGGCUUAUCAGCUUGUUGGUGGGGUAGUGGCUUACCAAGGCUUUGACGGGUAGCCGGCCUGAGAGGGUGACCGGCCACAUUGGGACUGAGGUACGGCCCAGACUCCUACGGGAGGCAGCAGUGGGGAAUAUUGCACAGUGGGCGGAAGCCUGAUGCAGCAACGCCGCGUGCGGGAUGACGGCCUUCGGGUUGUAAACCGCUUUCGCCUGUGACGAAGCGUGAGUGACGGUAAUGGGUAAAGAAGCACCGGCUAACUACGUG